CCGUCCGAUAGCUCAGUUUGGUAGAGCGGAGUACUGUAGAGUUGCAGCAAUCCUUAGGUCCCUUGGUUCGAAUCCGGCUCGACGGA
Parelaphostrongylus tenuis is the source of this 86-nucleotide non-coding RNA. The record is from the annotation of a GenBank genome assembly. Lineage: Eukaryota; Metazoa; Nematoda; Chromadorea; Rhabditida; Metastrongylidae.